Molecule: long non-coding RNA, 748 nt
Filed under: Physcomitrium patens
Lineage: Eukaryota; Viridiplantae; Streptophyta; Bryopsida; Funariales; Funariaceae
Description: long non-coding RNA (PPAT_LNC011992)
Source: RNAcentral
GAAAGUUCAUCUUAGCAAAUUUUAAUCAAUGGAAUAGAGAUUCGACUAAAAUCCCUUGGUCCUUUAGGGGUUAAAGAUGAGGAUAUAGGGGAUGGGAAUGCAGAUGAUGAUAAAGACGUAUUCUUUUCUUUUUAUUUGCCUUUGAAGAUUUAUCUUGCCUUGCUUUACUCACAUUUGUUGUAGCAAUGGUGACAAUACAAAACAAAUAAUCAUUCCAAUUGCCAUUAUGGAAAUAAAAACCUUGCUAAAAUAAUUUGACUUACAUUAUAAAAAUCAACAAAAUAAAUAAGAUAAGUACAAAAAUACCACAUAAGCAUUCAAUUAAACCUACAAAUAAUAAGUAUGAGGUGAGCAUGGGAUCCAAAAGAUGUGUUGUCAAGACUAAAGAACUCCUCAACUUUGAUUCCAAUAUAUACCUACUCAAAAGUAAAAAUAACCAUAACAUAAAAGAAACUCUAAAAUAAAAAAGUAAACUAUCUAAAAUAAAAGUAAUUAGAAAUUUUCAACUCUCCAACUCUCUAACCUCUCAACUCUCCAACCCUCCAACUCUCUGACUCUCCAAUUCUCCAACUCUCCGAUUCUCCAAUUCUCCAACUCUCCAACUCUCCAAUUCUCCAACUCUCCGACUCUCCAAUUCUCCAACUCUCCGACUAUCAAACUCACCAACUCUCAAACUCUCCAAUUCUCCAACUCUCCGACUCUCCAAUUCUCCAACCCUCCGACUCUCCAAUUCUCCAACUCUCCAACU